RNAcentral lists this long non-coding RNA (2178 nucleotides) under Sinocyclocheilus anshuiensis. RNAcentral's name for it is "lncRNA (ENSSANG00000027022.1)". The record is from RNAcentral. Lineage: Eukaryota; Metazoa; Chordata; Actinopteri; Cypriniformes; Cyprinidae.
AUGCUCACUCACACACACGCACACUCACACACGCACACUCGCUCAUAUAUAUAUACAUACACACACACACACACACACACUCGCUCAUACACACGCACUCAUACAGACACUCGCUCAUACUCACUCACUCACACACACACUCACUCGCACUCAUACACACACAUAUACACACACACACACUCACACGUACACACACUCGCACAGACUCACUCAUACACACACACACACACUCACACAGACUCACACGUACACACUCGCUCAUACACACUCACUCAUAUACACUCACACACACGCUCACACAGACUCACUCACACUCAUACACACGUAUACACACUCACUCACUCUCUCUCACACACACACACAUGUACACACUCACACUCUCAUAUACACAGACACUCACACACUCUCUCACACACUCACACACUCACACUCUCAUAUACACACAGACUCACACACACACUCUCACACACACUCACACACAUGCUCACUCACACACACGCACACUCACACACGCACACUCGCUCAUAUAUAUAUACAUACACACACACACACACACACACUCGCUCAUACACACGCACUCAUACAGACACUCGCUCAUACUCACUCACUCACACACACACUCACUCGCACUCAUACACACACAUAUACACACACACACACUCACACGUACACACACUCGCACAGACUCACUCAUACACACACACACACACUCACACAGACUCACACGUACACACUCGCUCAUACACACUCACUCAUAUACACUCACACACACGCUCACACGCACUCACACUCACACUCACACAGACUCACUCACACUCAUACACACGUAUACACACUCACUCACUCUCUCUCACACACACACACAUGUACACACUCACACUCUCAUAUACACAGACACUCACACACUCUCUCACACACUCACACACUCACACUCUCAUAUACACACAGACUCACACACACACUCUCACACACACUCACACACAUGCUCACUCACACACACGCACACUCACACACGCACACUCGCUCAUAUAUAUAUACAUACACACACACACACACACACACUCGCUCAUACACACGCACUCAUACAGACACUCGCUCAUACUCACUCACUCACACACACACUCACUCGCACUCAUACACACACAUAUACACACACACACACUCACACGUACACACACUCGCACAGACUCACUCAUACACACACACACACACUCACACAGACUCACACGUACACACUCGCUCAUACACACUCACUCAUAUACACUCACACACACGCUCACACGCACUCACACUCACACGCACACAGACUCACUCACACUCAUACACACGUAUACACACUCACUCAUAUACACUCACACACACGCUCACACGCACUCACACUCACACGCACACAGACUCACUCACACUCAUACACACGUAUACACACUCACUCAUAUACACUCACACACACGCUCACACGCACUCACACUCACACGCACACAGACUCACUCACACUCAUACACACGUAUACACACUCACUCACUCUCUCUCACACACACACACAUGUACACACACACACACUCACAGACACUCACACACACAGACACUCACACGCACUCACACAGACUCACUCACACUCAUACACACACGUAUACACACUCACUCACUCGCUCUCUCACACACACACACACGCACUCACACACACACACGUGUACACACACACGCACUCACACACUCACACGUGUACACACACACACGCACUCUCACACUCUCAGAAGCGGGCUGGCGGCUCGUCUCGUCUCCCUCUUUUCCGCCGUCUGUGGUUCCGGGUGGGUUUCUCUGGGGUCGGGGAAGAAGAAAUUGUCCAUUUGUCCGAGCAUCACUAGCAGCCCAGUGGAAAAAACAACCUAUCAAUCAAUAAAAGGACGUGUUUCUCUUUCUCUCUGUGGUUUUAUUAAGAGUUUAAUGGAAUGUUUUAAGUGUCAUGUACAUGUUCUUUGGAUUCUUUUGAGAAUAUGGGAAGCAAUGCAGAUUCAUCGUCAUACAAACACAAGCCGAUCGUCUUUGCUACUUUGUGACGUUACACACAUUUCCACGUUUGUUUUCUUGAAUGUGACGAUGUCUGCCGCGUUUCCCCUCACGAACACAAAUGCAGACGAUUCGAAUCAUUUCAUGGAGUUUUCUUUAUGCAAAUUAUAA